This 417-nucleotide ribosomal RNA is filed under the name Triticum aestivum (bread wheat). Its description in RNAcentral is "partial small subunit ribosomal RNA". Lineage: Eukaryota; Viridiplantae; Streptophyta; Magnoliopsida; Poales; Poaceae. The record is from RNAcentral.
AUGAGUCCCUUCUAUCCGCGUCCAUCCUCCUCGGCCUUUUCCAGGGUGGGCAUCUCUUUCCUUACGUUUCUGGAUACACCUCCCUCUGUGCCCAAUAUUCAACGCCGCCCUCUCCUACGUUUUCUUCUCCUCCCUCAUGGCAUCUCCACCUUCAUCACUGAUACCUUCCCCCUCUCCACCUUCAUCACCAAUACAUUCCCCGUCUCCACCUCUUCCAUCCUUUAUAUGCUGCCACCACCUGGGUAUUCUGUUCCUCAUGGUAUGUUUUGUCGUCUUCGUUGCUCUCUCUAUGGCUAUCCUGUCCAUAUUUUGAGCCGGUUUGUUUUUGCUCCCACUUUGGUUCACUACCGUCACCUUCUUCCUGUUUACGAUAUCUUAGUGGCAGAAUCUCUCACCGUCUCUUCUUUCCCCGUUUGA